RNAcentral lists this long non-coding RNA (480 nucleotides) under Notechis scutatus (mainland tiger snake). Its description in RNAcentral is "lncRNA (ENSNSUG00000001278.1)". The record is from RNAcentral. Lineage: Eukaryota; Metazoa; Chordata; Lepidosauria; Squamata; Elapidae.
GACUCUUGCUUUAUUAUGGGAUGUAAAGGCCGUUCUCUUUCCAUCCUUUCUCUAGCUCCUCCUACCAUCCUGGACGGCGCCGUGGCUCUGACCCCAACUUCCCAACAGGAACCUGCCGCUGCUGUUCCUUUCUACUCCAUGGUACCUGCCUCUAUGGGCCCAGCACCUGGCUCUCUGAACCCCUAUGGAGCCGAGAUGAACCCCAUGUACAGGGGGCCAGCGGCGCUGCCAGCAGGUCUACCUCCUCAAGGCCCUGACCUGCAGCCACAUGAGGGGACCCAGCAUGAAGCAGGGGUGGCUGAACCUCCCGCAUGGAAGGCAGUUGCAGAAGAAGACUUCUACGCGAAGAUGGCAAACAUGGGCCCAGGCCGACGGUCCCGAUCGACCUCCCAGUCUUCGGCCCACAUGGGCCUGGGACGACGUUCUCGGACGACCUCGGAGUCCUCCGUGCAUUCCAUUGGCCGGGAGAGGCGAAACUCC